GAUGAACGCUGGCGGCGUGCCUAAUACAUGCAAGUAGAACGCUGAAGGAGGAGCUUGCUCUUCUGGAUGAGUUGCGAACGGGUGAGUAACGCGUAGGUAACCUGCCUUGUAGCGGGGGAUAACUAUUGGAAACGAUAGCUAAUACCGCAUGACAACAGUUAUUGCAUGAUAACUGUUUAAAAGGGGCAACUGCUCCACUACCAGAUGGACCUGCGUUGUAUUAGCUAGUUGGUGAGGUAACGGCUCACCAAGGCGACGAUACAUAGCCGACCUGAGAGGGGGAUCGGCCACACUGGGACUGAGACACGGCCCAGACGCCUACGGGAGGCAGCAGUAGGGAAUCGUCGGCAAGGGGCGGAAGUCUGACCGAGCAACGCCGCGUGAGGGAAGAAGGUUUUCGGAUCGUAAAGCUCUGUUGUAAGAGAAGAACGAGUGUGAGAGUGGAAAGUUCACACUGUGACGGUAUCUGACCAGAAAGGGACGGCUAACUACGUG
This 495-nucleotide ribosomal RNA is filed under the name uncultured bacterium. RNAcentral's name for it is "partial 16S ribosomal RNA". It matches the Rfam family "Bacterial small subunit ribosomal RNA", at positions 28 to 507 of the family's 1533-position model. The record is from RNAcentral.